CCCAGGUUAGCUCAAUUGGUAGAGUGCUCCACUGGAUAUGGAGAGGUCCCAGGUUCGAUACAUGGGCCAGGCG
RNAcentral lists this transfer RNA (73 nucleotides) under Ixodes scapularis (black-legged tick). It matches the Rfam family "tRNA". From Rfam's summary of the family: Transfer RNA (tRNA) molecules are approximately 80 nucleotides in length. Their secondary structure includes four short double-helical elements and three loops (D, anti-codon, and T loops). Lineage: Eukaryota; Metazoa; Arthropoda; Arachnida; Ixodida; Ixodidae. The record is from Rfam by way of RNAcentral.